This 267-nucleotide unclassified non-coding RNA is filed under the name plant metagenome. Its description in RNAcentral is "partial contains small subunit ribosomal RNA, internal transcribed spacer 1, and 5.8S ribosomal RNA". The record is from RNAcentral.
UUUCUGUAGGUGAACCUGCGGAAGGAUCAUUAUCGUACAAAAUAUGAGGGGCAUGCGAGGGCUGUCGCCUACCCAAAAGUCGUGGACGCCCGAGUGUGUCCUCUUGCAUAAUAAUCCAUCUCACCCUUUGUGCAUCACCGCGUGGGCACCCUUCGGGAUCAUCUCGGAGGCGGGCUCGCGUUUUCACACAAACCCCCCUUUUAAAAGUGUAGAAUGACCACAUUUAUGCAAUCAAUACAACUUUCAACAACGGAUCUCUUGGCUCUC